This 107-nucleotide small nuclear RNA is filed under the name Mustela putorius furo (domestic ferret). Lineage: Eukaryota; Metazoa; Chordata; Mammalia; Carnivora; Mustelidae. The record is from RNAcentral.
GUGCUCGCUUCGGCAGCACAUAUACUAAAAUUGGAACGAUACAGAGAAGAUUAGCAUGGCCCCUGCGUAAGGAUGACAAAAUAAAGACCUUCCAUGGACACCUUAGU